Molecule: ribosomal RNA, 451 nt
Filed under: uncultured bacterium
Lineage: Bacteria
Description: bacterial SSU rRNA
Rfam family: Bacterial small subunit ribosomal RNA
Source: RNAcentral
AACGAACGCUGGCGGCAUGCCUAGCACAUGCAAGUCGAACGAAGUCUUCGGACUUAGUGGCGCACGGGUGCGUAACGCGUGGGAAUCUGCCCUUGGGUGCGGAAUAACUUCUCGAAAGGGAUGCUAAUACCGCAUAAUGUCGUAAGACCAAAGAUUUAUCGCCCAAGGAUGAGCCCGCGUAAGAUUAGCUAGUUGGUGGGGUAAAAGCCUACCAAGGCGACGAUCUUUAGCUGGUCUGAGAGGAUGAUCAGCCACACUGGGACUGAGACACGGCCCAGACUCCUACGGGAGGCAGCAGUGGGGAAUAUUGGACAAUGGGCGAAAGCCUGAUCCAGCAAUGCCGCGUGAGUGAUGAAGGCCCUAGGGUUGUAAAGCUCUUUUACCAGGGAUGAUAAUGACAGUACCUGGAGAAUAAGACUCCGGCUAACUCCGUGCCAGCAGCCGCGGUAAU